UAAAAGAUGCCAGGGCAAAAAUACGAAAGC
RNAcentral lists this non-coding RNA (30 nucleotides) under Rattus norvegicus (Norway rat). Lineage: Eukaryota; Metazoa; Chordata; Mammalia; Rodentia; Muridae. The record is from RNAcentral.